UACGGAGGGUGCGAGCGUUAUCCGGAUUCACUGGGUUUAAAGGGUGCGUAGGUGGGUUGGUAAGUCAGUGGUGAAAUCUCCGUGCUUAACACGGAAGCUGCCAUUGAUACUACUGAUCUUGAAUUUUCUGGAGGUAGGCGGAAUAUGUCAUGUAGCGGUGAAAUGCUUAGAUAUGACAUAGAACACCAAUUGCGAAGGCAGCUUACUCCAGGGACAUUGACACUGAUGCACGAAAGCGUGGGGAUCAAACAGG
This 253-nucleotide ribosomal RNA is filed under the name uncultured bacterium. RNAcentral describes it as "partial 16S ribosomal RNA". It matches the Rfam family "Bacterial small subunit ribosomal RNA", at positions 524 to 776 of the family's 1533-position model. The record is from RNAcentral.